UACGUAGGUGACAAGCGUUGUCCGGAUUUACUGGGCGUAAAGAGCGCGCAGGCGGUCGAUCAAGUCGAGUGUGAAAGCCCCCGGCUCAACUGGGGAGGGUCAUUCGAUACUGAUCGACUCGAAGGCAGGAGAGGGUAGUGGAAUUCCCGGUGUAGUGGUGAAAUGCGUAGAUAUCGGGAGGAACACCAGUGGCGAAGGCGGCGCUCUGGACCGAGACUGACGCUGAGGCGCGAAAGCGUGGGGAGCAAACAGG
This 253-nucleotide ribosomal RNA is filed under the name uncultured bacterium. RNAcentral describes it as "partial 16S ribosomal RNA". It matches the Rfam family "Bacterial small subunit ribosomal RNA", at positions 524 to 776 of the family's 1533-position model. The record is from RNAcentral.